CUAUUUUUAACUUGCAUGUUUCCUUCAGACUUUAUGAUUUGGAUUGCUCUGUGCUCCACUUUGACAAUGACAAUCGCAAACAUAAGAAAAAGAAGAAAAAGAAGAAGCACGACAGGAAACUGAAAGACUUAUUGGAAUAUUUAGAUCCUCCUUUCCAGAAGCAAACAUGGGAGAAGAAGGAAGAAUCCCGUCCUCCAGAUGACCAUUUAUGUGAGCAAUACAGAAACCAGGGCAGUGAAGAACCCUCCAAGGAAGAGAAGCCUUCUGGCAGGAAAUGCAGCUCCAUGGCAUCCCGUGAGUGUGGCAGAGACGUGGAGCUGAGUGAUGAAAGCCUUCAAUACUCAGACUGAACCCACCACAACCCCACCAACCUUCACCUUCAAAACCAACGACUUCUCAUCAUCAAAACCAACGACUUCUCACCUUCAAACCUGACAUUACCAGUAUUGACCAUCAAAACUUACAAUUUAUUAUCAAUUACCAUCGAGACAAAAUCCAGUCAUAAGUGGUGCUUAACAUUUCUGUACAGAAUUUUACCAUAUAAGAACUUUUUUUUAGUUUUUAACUUGAGACUUUCUUUUGUAAAAUGUACUUCUAAUCCAAAAGGGUGAAAACUUUUUACAACUGCUGAACAUUGUAAAUUACCACAUAAAUAUCUCAGUGAGCUGAGAUAAUGCCCUGGAAUAGACCAUCUCAAAUGCUGCUUAAUUACAGACUCAGGUUGACUUUAUGUUAUUCAUGUAAUGUUACUCCAAGUUAAGACAUCUGGUGCAAGAGCGACCAGGAAUUAUAAAAGUUGCAACUGACAGUCUGUAUAUUUAAUUUAAAGACUUAUUUAAAACUUCACAAGUUUUGCAAGAGCUUCAUUUUUUUUUUUUUUUUCUGUGGUCUGACACUAGAAACUAAUUUACUUCACAUUUGAGUUAUGUUCAAGAUCUGAAGAAAAUCUUCUGGUUUUCGACAUAGUGAAACAACGAAUAUGCAGUUCUGAAUGUAUCUCUCAAGA
Molecule: long non-coding RNA, 1006 nt
Filed under: Malurus cyaneus samueli
Lineage: Eukaryota; Metazoa; Chordata; Aves; Passeriformes; Maluridae
Description: lncRNA (ENSMCSG00000005435.1)
Source: RNAcentral